This 1131-nucleotide long non-coding RNA is filed under the name Coturnix japonica (Japanese quail). RNAcentral's name for it is "lncRNA (ENSCJPG00005017618.1)". Lineage: Eukaryota; Metazoa; Chordata; Aves; Galliformes; Phasianidae. The record is from RNAcentral.
ACACGUUGAACAUUGUCUUCCUGCUACCUUUGUUGGAUCCUGAAAUGAAGCUCAACUAUUGUUUGUGUACCUCAGACUGCAGUUUAAGGCCAGAUUGUUCCCCACUAAAGGGAUCUGCCCUCUCUCACAGCCCAUCAGUGGAGUUCAGGAGAGCUCAGCAAGGCCCUGCAGCAGUCUGUAAAGAAGUGGAGGGGAAAUAGUUCCCAGAAAGGCUCUGCAGCUGAAAUGGAAAGAAUCAGAAGGACUCGAGGCUGAGUCAGAAACUGGAGCGUGUUCGAGGCUCGAAGCACACAUGGAAACAUGGAAAGAUUCCUUCACCUCUCAGACUGAAAUGUUUAGAGCUGAUCACUGGCAACAAUGUGCUGGGUUAUCCAGAACACUUUCCCACUUUUACUUAUAAGCCCAAGAAAAUAGAAGUGAAGGGUUAAUGUAGAUACAAGUAACAUUCACUUCACUUGCACUAAGCCUUCCAGAUUUUACAGGAAUGCUUGCAGCAGUGAAGGAACUUUGACAGGAGCCACCAGGUCUAGUAGUGUGGGGAGGUAUUCCACAUAUUGGAAAAAAGGGUGUAGUCUAUGUAAAAAAAAAAAAAAAAAAAAAGUGUUUUUAUAAUUACUUUUGUGCUCUUACUGGAGUAAGUAAUUCCUAUGCACUGACCUUAUUUUUUGUUCUCUUAGUGAAAUAUUUAUAAUGAGUUAACAGACCUUUCACUUCGAUUUGAAGUGACCUGUGCUGUUUUUAUUUUUAAACCCAUACAAAUAUUUUUCCUGACUGAGUUGCUGAGUAGCUUAUGGUGUCAUACACUUUGAAUUUCAGGUAUCACUGAAAUGAUUUCAGUGAAACUGUGAAUGUAGAAAUAAGGCAAAACUGUUCUUGCAUGCAAAGGAAAGACUACAAAAGAAGACUUUCCAUGGCUUUUUCUACUUCUUUGAUGUCAUUUCAUCUGAUAUUUAUUUGAAAAUCUAAACAUGAGCGCAUGUGCACUUCCUGUGGUGGAUACUGUUUCUAUUUCUGAAGUAAAGGAAAUGAUUAUUUUCCUAUUUGCUUACUUCUUUUGUACUGAUUCAGCCACAAAUACUAGAUGACCUCAGCUGGAUACAGAUCUAUCCGGGCUUUUCUGUUCUGCUCCUU